GUGUGUCUUGAGGGUUAAAGUUAGAUGCAUUCAUCUGUUUACCUCACCUGGUUUUGACGAGCAAUAAAGAGGAACUUCAAAAAAAAAACCUCACAAACGUCAUCAUUCUCAUAGACACCUGGACAAUCCUGCAACAGAAUUUCCACACGCACCAUUUUAGGACUUCGUGGCUGACUCCUUUUUGCUUCUUCUUCCUUCAUCUAAGAUGACCACCCCUUCCCUUCCUCCCGAAGAAAGAGGCAUUAACCCCAACCUGUCCACCUGCCGAGAGUCUCAGUGCAACAAUCAUGGUAACUGUGUGACUCCUACGGGUGGUGGUACAGAUCUAGUAUGUAACUGUGAUCUGGGCUACAAGGGUGACUCCUGCGAGGACACGAUCAAUGGGGCAUUAAGUGUACCUUUGACCCUGAGCGUGUUUGCUGUCCUCGUUGGCCUGGUGAUCCUGGCUUUCAUCGCUGCCAAGUUCCGGCAGAAACAAAAGAAGAAGCGAAGGAAACUACUGGAAGAAAAAGUCUACAGCAAUACUGCAUAAUGUGGAUAACUGUCGAACAGAUAAACUUUGGUGAUCAAAUUGUGACUACCACUAUAAGAAUUAUGCUGCAACAUCCCACAGACUCGAGCAAUAACUUCACAAACUGAGUGCAAAGGCGUAUGGGAGAGUUACUUCUUAUACAGUAUUUUUCCAUUUGUACAAAAAGUAUCUAUCUCUAAUACCGCAAGCCACAUGCUGAUUCAUUUUGUGCCUCUUCUCUGAAACCAACUAAACUGAUGCCAAUAGAGUCAUCCAGGCAAAACGUGCAGUGCAAAUGUCUGUAUUUUAAUCAACAUCAGCUUCCUUGAUCUCAUUUCUCAAACACUAAGGCAUGCUUCUGCAAGUAGUUUAAACUCUGACUCUUGUUAGUAAAACAAUACAAAUGUUCACCUAUAAUUUACCUUCUCUGAGGGAGCUGCAGUUUAGCUUAAGUAAAGCAAGUGGUUGUUAUUUUGACAGUGAAGGCUCCAGACAGAUGACAUUUACGAUGAUUCUGUAGACCGUUUAAUGGGAAUCUGAUAAGCCAGAAGCUGAUUUGACUCCGUCCAGUUUAUAUAUAUUUUAUUUAGAAAAUAUGCACUUUUUUUCCACUCUUGUGGUUUUAUUUCAUUGCUAUGUUACGUACAGCAGUUGCUGCUGGUAUUAUAUUGUUUCCCUU
Molecule: RNA transcript, 1190 nt
Organism: Oreochromis aureus
Lineage: Eukaryota; Metazoa; Chordata; Actinopteri; Cichliformes; Cichlidae
Gene name: zonadhesin-like
Exons: 4
Source: RefSeq, a predicted model, not a curated record